Molecule: long non-coding RNA, 636 nt
Filed under: Musa acuminata (dwarf banana)
Lineage: Eukaryota; Viridiplantae; Streptophyta; Magnoliopsida; Zingiberales; Musaceae
Description: long non-coding RNA (MACU_LNC007810)
Source: RNAcentral
UUAACUCAAACCUUGCUUUCAAGCUUGAUUUCACCUAUUGGCCUGUUACUGCUGAGACACACUCUUGACUUUCUCCCAUGAUAAGGAAAUCCACUAUUACUUAUGGGACUUACCUCGAUAACACGCAAUUCCAGCUACGACUUAUAAGCAUCAACCCACAAAUAAGGCCCGGCCCGCCUAAUUUCUUUUCUUACAACUAGGCCGAUCAGUCUGUUUUCUCUGACUUUGAUUCUCCUGCCGCUGCCUUCGAUACUUUAUCUUAUAAUAAAGAAAGAAACCAGCGCUUCCAAGAUCUUAACUAGCAACCAAGAAGCCAACUACCAAUAAAAAGAAAUGCGGCUACCAACUAAAAGAGUAGAACCAAUACGGAAAAGAAGAAACCUUGUACUGAUGGGGCUUACCCUGCAAAACAAGCUUGACCCCGAACCACCAAACUACUACUACAAACUCAACUGCAUGGCAGAACAACAACAAGUAGUAUAUUUAAUACGAGUUACUAUUCCUGUUGUGCUUGGCGGUUUCAUUCUCACUUGAAACUAUCCCUCUCAAACUGAGACUAGCAAUCCUUAAAGGUAGGCUAACAAUUCCCACUUUGAGAACUCUUUUAUUGCAGACAUCGACUCUGGCUCUGUAAAC